CCUAGUAAGCGCGAGUCAUUAGCUCGCGUUGAUUACGUCCCUGCCCUUUGUACACACCGCCCGUCGCUACUACCGAUUGAAUGGCUUAGUGAGACUUUCGGAUGUGUUUGGAGCCGCUGGCAACAGCGACACCUUGCGCAGAAGUUAUUCAAACUUGGUCAUUUAGAGGAAGUAAAAGUCGUAACAAGGUUUCCGUAGGUGAACCUGCGGAAGGAUCAUUAAAAAAAAUUUAAUGAAUGUCGGGGGUUCUUCCUCCGAGUAUUCAACCAAACCCGCUCGUGUAUUUGUACCAAACAAACAUAAUUUUUAAAAUUAACAAAAUAAUUAAUUAAAAGAAAAAACUUUCAACAACGGAUCUCUUGGCUCUCGCAUCGAUGAAGAACGCAGCGAAAUGCGAUAAGUAGUGUGAAUUGCAGAACUUUGUGAACCAUCGAAUCUUUGAACGCAAAUUGCGCCUUUUUCGGAAGGCAUGUCUGUUUGAGGGCACCAUUUAACAAAUAAUGUGCACCGUUUUGUGUGUGUGCACACGUUGAUGAGCUUUCCAAGAAAAUAUUUUUUUUUUGGUGGCGCAUAAUGAACAGCGCGAAGGCUUUUUUCAGUUCGAGUGUAGUAAAAUCUUUGCUCGGGUUGUGAAAAGCAUAGUAGCGCAAUGGGUGUGGCAAUUUUGUAAUCCCCUGCCCCAAUGCCACUCUUUCUCGCGAAAGAAUGUUAUAAUCUUCAGGGCCUCAAAUCAGACAAGAGUACCCGCUGAACUUAAGCAUAUCAAUAAGCGGAGGAAAAGAAACUAACAAGGAUUCCCCUAGUAACGGCGAGUGAAGCGGGAACAGCUCAAAUUUUAAAUCUGGCUGCUUCGCAGUCCGAGUUGUAAUUUGAAGGCGUCUGUCGCUUGUGAGACGAUGACACAAGUCCUCUGGAACGUGGCAUCGUAGAGGGUGAGAAUCCCGUCUCUGGUCGUUGUCUUUGCAGGCAUACGGCAGGCGAUCCGAAGAGUCGAGUUGUUUGGGAUUGCAGCUCCAAAUGGGUGGUAAACUCCAUCUAAGGCUAAAUAUUGGCGAGAGACCGAUAGCGAACAAGUACCGUGAGGGAAAGAUGAAAAGAACUUUGAAAAGAGAGUAAAACAGUACGUGAAAUUGUUGAAAGGGAAACGCUUGAAGUCAGUCGUGCCGGCGGGGAUUCAGCGAACUUCGCGGAGUGAGCGUAUUUCCUCGCAUGGCAGGUCAGCGUCAGUUUUGCGCGUCGUGAAAGGGCUCGGGUAAGGUGACUCUCUUCGGGGAGUGUUAUAGACCUGGGCAGAUGCGAUGCGCGGGACUGAGGAUUGCAGCGGACACCCUUCGGGGCGCGGCGACCGAUCCCUGCUCUGUCACCUUCGUCCGAUAGCGUGCUAACGGUCGAGGGAGCGGCGGUUGCACCGGGUUGGCAAGCCGGUGGCUUUCGCUAAGGAUGCUGGCGUAAUGGCUUUAAACGACCCGUCUUGAAACACGGACCAAGGA
Molecule: ribosomal RNA, 1490 nt
Filed under: uncultured Glomeromycotina
Lineage: Eukaryota; Fungi; Glomeromycota
Description: eukaryotic LSU rRNA
Rfam family: Eukaryotic large subunit ribosomal RNA (bases 721-1490)
Source: RNAcentral